CUUCUUCCUCUUCCCAGCGCCAGCCUCGCCGCCGCGGCGGGGGGCGGGCGAGAACGCGAUUGGCUGAGGCGCGCGCGCGCACCGGAACGCCGCAGCCGGCGCUCGGUCCAUCCGGCCCGUGGGCUGUGGGGCCCCGGGCGGCGGCGGCUACGUAGCUGCCGCCGGCCUUGGCCGCGGCCGGGCGGGCGGAUAUGUGGCUUAAAUGGCGCAGGCGUCGGGGCCUAGAGGCUGAAGGGCUGGUCGUCCUAAAAACUCGUGGACGUCGCGCACGGUUACCCGGACGCAGGCCCGCCCCUCUGGGGAACCGCGAGCUCCUCGCAGCUGGGUGGGGACCGUCCUCGCAGUGGCGGCCUCCACCCUGCCUUCUCGCUUAGCCAAGGCUUCUGGAAGGCUCGCAAAGUGUCUGUUGUUGGAAGAAGCCGGGCCCUGACUGGCGCGACGGAUUCUCCCAGCCGCUCAGCAGAGCGUCUGUAGGUCGGAAGUGGGGGUUGUAUUGGAAUAUGCUUUUUGUCUAAUGAUGUUAGAUAAAAAGCAAAUUUGGAGCAGUUUUCUUAUUCGAGUUCAAAAUGGUUCAUAAAGCAGCGAAGACAACUCAAAACAUCAGUAACACAUUUGGCCCAGGAACUGCUAACAAACAUACAGUGCAGUGGUGGCUUAAGAAGUUUUGCAAGGAAGAGAGCCUUGAAGAUGAGGAACGUGAUAUGGGCCAUGGGAAGUUGACAACGACCAAUUGAGAGCAAUCAUUGAACUACAUGAAAAAUUACAGAAGAACUCAGCGUUGACUAUUCUACGGUCAUUAGGGUCGUUCAGCAUUCGAAGCAAAUUGGAAAGGUGAAAAAGCUUGAUAAGUGGGUGCCUCAUGAGCUGAGCGGAAAUCAAAACUAUCGUUUUGAAGUGUAGUCUUCUUUUAUGCUACGCAACAACAAACCAUUUCUCAAUCGGAUUGUGACAUGUAAUGAAAAGUGAAUUUUAUACAACAACCAGCUCAGUGGUUGGACCAAGAGGCAGCUCCAAAGCAGUUCCCAAAGCCAAACUUGCACCAAAAAAAAGGUCAUGGUCACUGUUCGGUGGUCUGCUGCCCAUCUGAUCCACUACAGUUUUCUGAAUCCUGGUGAAACCAUUACAUCUGAGAAGUAUGCUCAGCAAAUUGGUAAGAUGCACCGAAAACUGCAAUACCUGCUGCCUGCAUUGGUCAACAGAAAGGGCCCAAUUCUUCUCCACGACAACACCUGACUGCGUGUCGCACAACCAGUGCUUCAAAAGUUGAAGGAAUUGGGCUACAAAGUUUUGCCUCAUCCACCAUAUUCACCUGACCUUUCGCCAACUGACUACCACUUCUGCUAGCAUCUUGACAACUUUUUGCAGGGAAAACACUUCAGCAUGGUGCAGAAAAUGCUUUCCAAGAGUUCGUCAAAUCCUGAAGCACGGAUUUUUAUGCUACAGGAAUAAACAAACAUUUCUCAUUGGCAAAAAUGUGUUGAUUGUAAUGGUUCCUGUUUUGAUUAAUAGAAUAUGUUUUAGCGUAGUUACAAUGAUUUAAAAUUCGCAGUCUGGAAAUUUAAUUUUUGCAUCAACCUAAUAUUUCUAUGGUAAAUCCUUGCAAACAUGGAAACAAUGCAUUUGGCCCAGUGCUUUGUGGUUGUGUACUCUUUUUCUUUGUUUUUUUAAUAGAUGGCAUUGGCCGGGCAUGGUGGCUCAUGCCUGUAAUCCCAGCAUUUUGGGAAGGUGAGGUGGGUGGAUCACCUGAGGUCAGGAGUUCAAGACCAGCCUGACUAACAUGGUAAAACCCCAUCUCUACUAAAAAUACAAAAAAAUUAGCUAGGCGGGGUGGCGGGCAUCUAAUUCCAGCUACUUCAUGAGGCUGCGACAGGAGAAUCAUUUGAACUCGGGAGGCAGAGGUUGCAGUGAGCCGAGAUCACACCAUUGCACUCCAGCCUGGGCGAUGAGCGAAACUGUCUCAAAAAAAAAAAAAGUUGGGGUCUCGCUGUGUUGACCAGGCUGGUCUCGAACUCCUGGCCUCAAGUGAUCCUCCCAUCUUGGCCUCCCAAAGUGUUAGGAUUACAGGCGUGAGCCACCACACCCUGCCUGGUUGUGUACUCUUUUAAAUACUAAGUUUUUAAUGUUAAAUGCUGCUUUUAGAUACACUGUAAAAAUACACCUAUCAAUGAGUUUUUUUAUUAAAAACAUUGCAAUUGUACUAGACUUUAAAUACUAAGCAAUAAUUCAGGCUUCAAUGUUGGUUUAUAGUUUUCUCAUUUCUUUCAUUUAAUACCUCUGUAAAAUGAAGCAGUUACUUCCAUUUUCCUGAGGUGAGAUAAGUGCCCUGCACAAUGUUAUAGGCCCAGUAAGUGAGACUGGAGCUCUGAUCUAAUCCCUUUGACAUUAAAGUUUGUGCAGUAAACCAGCUAUGUCAGUUUGCCACAUUUGUAAUAGUGUUCAAUAAAUUUUCACUUAAAGGUUUAAUAUUAAAGUAGUAGCAAGAAUUCAUAACCUUAAUUGGCUUUAACAGCUUUUCUUUCCCUGAAAACAGAUGCAUAUGUACACAUGCACACAGAUUGCUUACAAUAUCAGCACGUAAAAGGCCUUUGCACAUUGAAGUCGGCACUGCUUUGGUGCCUUUUUUGUUUUUUGGCUCGGUGUUUUGACUGCAAGUCUUUUUGGAUAGAAUUUUAUAGUUAGAAAGUAGCUAACACUUGGGUUUUAUAGGCACAAAAAACAAGUCUUAUACUAGCUGUACUUUAUUUUUUGAGUUCUUAUUAAUGAGGAACAUCCACUUUUGCAUUGACAGUGAUUUCAAGAUUGCUUUAUCAGCCUUUAAAGGAUUCUUGACUAGUCGUGCACAUCAGAACUGCCAGGUCCCCAGUGGUUCUGAAGCAGUAAGCUUUGGGUGGGCUCUGGCAUCAGCACUUUCACUAAGCUUCACAGAUAAUUCUGAUGCAUACUCCAGGCCUGAACCACUGAUCAAUUUGAAACAUGCAUAACAAAGCAAAAAAAGUUUUGUUUCACCUUUUGAAAUACAGUUAACUCUUUUACCAUGCCAGAGAUCAUUCAGAGAGACAGGUCGUUGCUCCGGAGUGAUACAGAUCUGGCAGUACCCAGCCCUUGUGUGUGUGCGUUAGCUCAGCACCUGCCCACACUGCGAGCCCCCGUAGGAUGUGCCUUGUCCUUCCCUGUUUCAGCACUUAACACACUACCUGGUACAGAGUAUGUAGUGGGCAUCUGUUGAAUGAAUGCUUUUCCCAGUAGCAGUGUAUUCAUACAAUAUUAAUAUAAUUGUCCCCUGGCUUACAGAUAAAAAUGAAAGCAUCAAGUGCCCAGUGAGUGAGACCCAGGUGUUCUUCCUCCACCCCUAGUGGUCCCCUGGGCAGGUCUUUUUUUUUUUGUAACACUCACCAGUCUGUUCUGUAGUCAAUCAUUGAUUGACUUGUCUGUGAACUUGGAGGAACUGUUUCAUAGUUUCAUUAGCACAGAGUAAACAUGUUUGCCAUGCAAGGUUAUUUUGCAUCUGCAUUUAAGUGAUAAUGUUGAAUCAAUGAAAAGUGUUGAUUAAGCAGUAGUUGUAGAUAUGCUAAGUUUUUCAAAUUACUAAUAUCAAGUGGAGAUUGUUUUUACUUUUAAGGGUAUUGCUUUUGUGAUAGCAUAAAUAAUGGUUUUCCUUUUUUGUAAUGUAAAUUAAUUGCUGGCAACUUUUGUAUUCCCAUAGACUGGGGAAGCUUAAUUGCCUUUACAAGUACUUAUGUACAACUUUGUAUCAAAUUUUCUGUAAUAGUUUAUGCUUUAGUACUAUAUAUGUACUAAUAAUUUUAUCUGACUUCUGUUUAUAUCAUUUGUACAAUUACAUGGUUGUAAAAUAAACUUUUAAACCUCACGUAAUUGCUGUUAGCCACCUAUCCCCACCCCCUUUUUUUAACUGUGGAAUCUGAGUCAGGUACAGUGGCUUACGCCUGUAAUCCCUGUGCUUUGGAAGACUGAGGCAGGUGGAUUGCCUGAGUUUGAGACCAGCGUGGGCAACAUGGCGAAACACUGUCUCCACUAAAAAAUACAAAAAUUAGCUGGGGUUGGCCUGCCCCUGUAGUCUCAGCUACUCAGGAGGCUGAGAUAGGAGGAAUGCUUGAGCCUGGGGAGGUAGGGAAGUCAAGGCUGCAGUAAGCCAUGGUUGUGCCACUGCACUCCAGCCUGGGUGACAGAGCAAGACCCUGUCUCAGAAAAAAAGUAUGGAAUCUGGACAGAUAGAUAUAAUCUCUGAAGAGCAGAUUGCACAUUCCUUACACUUAAUACCUUAUCCUGUUUAAUCUUACAAUAACCUUGUGAAGUAGAUGGUAUUAUCCUGUUUUUGCAGCUAAAUAGGCCGAGACCUAAACAAAGAGGAUGAUUCCUCCAAAGUUGCCUGGCUAGCAAGGGGUGGAACAUUUAUUAGUAGCUCUCUCUGCUUGUUUCUUCUCUUCUGUCCUUGAGGGCUGUGAGAGGAAGAAAACUCUUCUACGCAUCUCCAUGCUGUGUCAAAGUCAAGCUCUAGCACAGCCUGCCAGGCUAUUUGGGGAGGCCUCAACUUCUAUAUAAAUGGCCCUUGUUCUUCCCAAGAGGAGAAUAGAGAAAGGCUGUUUUCCCUGUGGUGGAUUAAUGGUAUGAGAAUGCAGGGACACCAAGAAUGCAUUUCCUA
RNAcentral lists this long non-coding RNA (4660 nucleotides) under Homo sapiens (human). RNAcentral's name for it is "non-protein coding FGD5-AS1:9". The record is from RNAcentral. Lineage: Eukaryota; Metazoa; Chordata; Mammalia; Primates; Hominidae.